Molecule: transfer RNA, 90 nt
Filed under: Candidatus Nitrosotenuis uzonensis
Lineage: Archaea; Thermoproteati; Nitrososphaerota
Description: Thaumarchaeota archaeon N4 tRNA-Lys
Rfam family: tRNA
About the family: Transfer RNA (tRNA) molecules are approximately 80 nucleotides in length.
Source: RNAcentral
GGGUCUAUGGCUCAGCCAGGUAGAGCGAAGGACUCUUAAAAAAAACUUGGAGACAUCCUUAUGUCGUGGGUUCGAAUCCCACUAGACCCG